UACGGGGGGGGCAAGCGUUGUUCGGAAUUACUGGGCGUAAAGGGCUCGUAGGCGGCCAACUAAGUCAGACGUGAAAUCCCUCGGCUUAACCGGGGAACUGCGUCUGAUACUGGAUGGCUAGAGUGUGGGAGAGGGAUGCGGAAUUCCAGGUGUAGCGGUGAAAUGCGUAGAUAUCUGGAGGAACACCGGUGGCGAAGGCGGCAUCCUGGACCAAUACUGACGCUGAGGAGCGAAAGCCAGGGGAGCAAACGGG
Molecule: ribosomal RNA, 253 nt
Filed under: uncultured bacterium
Lineage: Bacteria
Description: partial 16S ribosomal RNA
Rfam family: Bacterial small subunit ribosomal RNA
Source: RNAcentral